This 309-nucleotide ribosomal RNA is filed under the name Triticum aestivum (bread wheat). RNAcentral's name for it is "partial small subunit ribosomal RNA". Lineage: Eukaryota; Viridiplantae; Streptophyta; Magnoliopsida; Poales; Poaceae. The record is from RNAcentral.
AUGAUGCUCAUGGGCAACUUAUCUCUUAUUGGAUUUCCUUUUCUAACAGGAUUUUAUUCUAAAGAUGUGAUCUUAGAGCUCGCUUACACAAAGUAUACCAUCCGUGGGAACUUUGCUUUCUUGGGAAGUGUGUCUGUCCUUUUCACUUCUUAUUACUCCUUUCGUUUACUAUUUCUAACAUUUCUAGUACCAACCAAUUCAUUCGGGCGAGACAUAUUACGAUGUCAUGAUGCACCCAUUCCUAUGGCCAUUCCUUUAAUACUUUUGGCUCUCGGGAGUCUAUUUGUAGGAUACUUGGCCAAAGUGUGA